This is a long non-coding RNA of Hippocampus comes (tiger tail seahorse), 491 nucleotides long. RefSeq lists it as uncharacterized. The transcript is spliced from 2 exons. Lineage: Eukaryota; Metazoa; Chordata; Actinopteri; Syngnathiformes; Syngnathidae. The record is from RefSeq and is a predicted model, not a curated record.
CACUGGAAAUACAGUUGAGUUGAGAGACGAGAGACCAUUGUCAAAGUGGCUAACACACUGUCGCGUCCACGUAGCGUUUAGCCGUGGAAUGUUUUUGUGAAACUCGAAACAAGGAAGCGUCUUGAGCAACAUCUUUGGUGACACACGCGGGCAGUCAACGAAGACACACUUCCUCUCGCUAAUUACUACUUGUCAGCGUUGAGCUGAGCAGGUGCUGUCACUUGUCCUCUUUCGCAUUCUUGCCGAGAGAAAAAUACGAGCAGCUACGAACGGCAUGUGGCGUGUUGUUGUGUGUUUGAAUUCAAGGUGCUUUGAGAUGAGUGACUCCAGCGUUCAGCUGCGCCCGUGACGUCAUCACGCCGCCGUCGCGUUUCCCCUUUGGCUUAGGUCAAGUUGGACCUGUUGCCGGGCGGGUUAGAGCUGCCAAAGAUGGUGAUGUCACUAAUGGGCUGUCUUAGGUCAAGUACUAUCAAAAGUACAUAGUAGGUGAG